Long non-coding RNA from Rattus norvegicus (Norway rat), 1077 nucleotides. RefSeq lists it as uncharacterized. NCBI's taxonomy places the organism in Eukaryota, Metazoa, Chordata, Mammalia, Rodentia, Muridae. The record is from RefSeq and is a predicted model, not a curated record.
UGUGGUGAAGCAGUCUCAACAGAAUUACACAGAAUAUAAUGAAGUCUCAGCACCCAGAGCACCCACGGAGACCCAUAACGAUCACACUACUCAUGGCUCUGAAGAAAUCUUACCUAAACUUUCCAAGUAAAACCAGACUAAAACCAGUUUGGAAUUUCCAGCCAUCAUCAAAGUCAGUUUUCUGCUGCCUUAGUUCAGCUGGUGGGUGUGUCCACUAGCUGCCUCCUGAAAGCUCUGCGUUGCCAAGGCAACAGUUGGUGGACACACCCACCAGGAAAUGAAAGAUGUAAUUUGUAAUAACCGCACGGAGCCCUGCUGCUUCCUUUCUGCUUGGAAAGCAUAAUCUUUAAUAACUCGCGGCCCACAGUCGAAGUCAAAGACUUGUGAUUCCAGAUGGCAAAGGCCUUAGCAGCAGCCCCUGUGAUCUUUCAUGUGCAAAGGACUCCAACUGCUAUCAACUUUCAACAGCGAUGUGUCCAUAAAAAGACCGAGGAAAGGUCUAAAGGCUAAUUGAAAUGACGAGGGACUGAAGGCCCAGAGCUGGCUGGCAGUGGGACACGACACAGUGAAGUUCACAAGAGUCAUUGCUGCGGGAGCGAGGCCAGCUGGGGGCAUCUGAGAAGGCAUUGAGAUGUGUGCUGGUAAACACUCGGUGAGAACGGAAAGAGAUCGCUGAGACCAGUGAAGUUUGGAGCCAAAUCUGAGGUUUUCAUUUUCCAUCCCCAGAAGAAAAAUAGAUUGGAAAAUGCUUCAAAGAAAAAAUUUCUAAUUUUCUACCACAAAAGAGGAGACUCCUGUGAAAGGGGUUUGAACCCUAAAGAUAUUACAACCCAUCGGUUGAGAGCUGCUGCUCCAGCUGUUUGUACUCAUCAGAGACAUCUGGGCCAAAUGUAACCAAGGGAAGAUGACAGUGUGAAGACCAACCUGGGACCUGAGAAUGACAGAGCGAGAGGAAACAAAAGCCCCAGAUCCUGGGAGAUGUGUUUUGAGUCACUGAAUUACUUACCCAACUCUAGAUUUACCCUCCUUCUGAAUUACCUUUUAAGAGAAAAUAAAUUGCAUUAUGGGUUGUAUUAA